This 1207-nucleotide ribosomal RNA is filed under the name Sebastes brevispinis (silvergray rockfish). RNAcentral's name for it is "partial 16S ribosomal RNA". It matches the Rfam family "Bacterial large subunit ribosomal RNA", at positions 696 to 2542 of the family's 2925-position model. The record is from RNAcentral. Lineage: Eukaryota; Metazoa; Chordata; Actinopteri; Perciformes; Sebastidae.
AGUGCUUUAGUUUGACACCCCGAAACUAGGGGAGCUACUCCAAGACAGCCUAUUUAUAGGGCGAACCCGUCUCUGUGGCAAAAGAGUGGAAUGAGCUUUGAGUAGAGGUGAUAAACCUACCGAACCUAGUUAUAGCUGGUUGCCCAAGAAAUGAAUAGAAGUUCAGCCUCCCGGAUUCUCCCUUCACCUCAGAGACACAAGCCCCUGAUAUAUUAAGAAACCGUGAGAGUUAUUCAAAGGGGGUACAGCCCCUUUGAAACAAGACACAACUUUCCCAGGAGGGUAAAGAUCACAAUAACACAAGGUAAGCAACUCUCGGGGGCCCGAAAGCAGCCACCCCCUGAAGAAAGCGUCUAAGCUCGGAACAAUCUUACCCCUCCCCCAAUCCUGAUCAUUUAAUCUUAUCCCCCUAAACUUAUUGAGCCAUCCCAUGCACCCAUGGGAGUGACCAUGCUAAUAUGAGUAAUAAGAAAGCCCAGGCUUUCUCCCGCACGCAUGUAAAUCGGAAUGGCCCCCCACCGAAUAUUACGGCCCCAAACAAAGAGGGCAGUGGGGAGAACACUACACACCAAGAAAAACCCCCAACAAACAACCGUUACCCCAACACAGGUGUGCCCCCAGGGAAAAACUAAAAGGGUGAGAAGGAACUCGGCAAACACAUAAAGCCUCGCCUGUUUUACCAAAAACAUCGCCUCUUGCAAAUAAUGAAUAAGAGGUCCCGCCUGCCCUGUGACUAUAAGUUUAACGGCCGCGGUAUUUUGACCGUGCAAAGGUAGCGCAUUCACUUGUCUUUUAAAUGAAGACCUGUAUGAAUGGCUCAACGAGGGCUUAACUGUCUCCUCUUUCAAGUCAAUGAAAUUGAUCUCCCCGUGCAGAAGCGGGGAUAUAAACAUAAGACGAGAAGACCCUAUGGAGCUUUAGACACCAAAGAAGAUCCUGUCAAGUAACCCCUUAUAAGGGCCUAAACUAAUGGAAUCCUUCCCUAAUGUCUUUGGUUGGGGCGACCGCGGGGAAACAAAAAACCCCCACGUGGAAAGGGAGCACCCCCUCCUACAACUAAGAGCCGCAGCUCUAAUUAACAGAAUAUCUGACCAAUAAGAUCCGGCAAUGCCGAUCAACGGACCGAGUUACCCUAGGGAUAACAGCGCAAUCCCCUUUUAGAGCCCAUAUCGACAAGGGGGUUUACGACCUCGAUGUUGGAUCAGGA